CUCGUAGGUGGCCAACUAAGUCGGACGUGAAAUCCCUCGGCUUAACCGGGGAACUGCGUCUGAUACUGGAUGGCUUGAGUUCGGGAGAGGGAUGCGGAAUUCCAGGUGUAGCGGUGAAAUGCGUAGAUAUCUGGAGGAACACCGGUGGCGAUGGCGGCAUCCUGGACCGACACUGACGCUGAGGAGCGAAAGCCAGGGGAGCAAACG
This 207-nucleotide ribosomal RNA is filed under the name uncultured bacterium. RNAcentral's name for it is "partial 16S ribosomal RNA". It matches the Rfam family "Bacterial small subunit ribosomal RNA", at positions 568 to 774 of the family's 1533-position model. The record is from RNAcentral.